Molecule: unclassified non-coding RNA, 184 nt
Filed under: soil metagenome
Description: partial internal transcribed spacer 1
Source: RNAcentral
CCGAGUUUACAACUCCCAAACCCAAUGUGAACCAUACCAAACUGUUGCCUCGGCGGGGUCACGCCCCGGGUGCGUCGCAGCCCCGGAACCAGGCGCCCCGCCGGAGGGACCAACCAAACUCUUUCUGUAGUCCCCUCGCGGACGUUAUUUCUUACAGCUCUGAGCAAAAAUUCAAAAUGAAUCA